UGGGGAAUUUUGGACAAUGGGCGAAAGCCUGAUCCAGCAAUGCCGCGUGUGUGAAGAAGGCCUUCGGGUUGUAAAGCACUUUUGUCCGGAAAGAAAUCCUUGGCUCUAAUACAGUCGGGGGAUGACGGUACCGGAAGAAUAAGCACCGGCUAACUACGUGCCAGCAGCCGCGGUAAUACGUAGGGUGCAAGCGUUAAUCGGAAUUACUGGGCGUAAAGCGUGCGCAGGCGGUUUGCUAAGACCGAUGUGAAAUCCCCGGGCUCAACCUGGGAACUGCAUUGGUGACUGGCAGGCUAGAGUAUGGCAGAGGGGGGUAGAAUUCCACGUGUAGCAGUGAAAUGCGUAGAGAUGUGGAGGAAUACCGAUGGCGAAGGCAGCCCCCUGGGCCAAUACUGACGCUCAUGCACGAAAGCGUGGGGGAGCAAACAGGAUUAGAUACCCUGGUAGUCCACGCCCUAAACGAUGUCAACUAGUUGUUGGGGAUUCAUUCCUUAGUAACGUAGCUAACGCGUGAAGUUGACCGCCUGGGGAGUACGGUCGCAAGAUUAAAACUCAAAGGAAUUGACGGGGUCAUAGCUGUUUCCU
RNAcentral lists this ribosomal RNA (585 nucleotides) under uncultured bacterium. Its description in RNAcentral is "partial 16S ribosomal RNA". It matches the Rfam family "Bacterial small subunit ribosomal RNA", at positions 355 to 1375 of the family's 1533-position model. The record is from RNAcentral.